AUGAUGGCGUCGAUUGCCAUGGACAUAGCCGACGAAUUCCAACUGCUGCUACGACAAGCACAAGCAGUACAAGAAAUUAUAUUCCUGGCCGAAGUAGAAGACCUGCUGCGACAACUACAACAAGAAGAUGACUUUCUACCUGACCCCGAUGCCAUGUUUCGCGAGCUUGUCCGCCUCGGCCAUAUUACCGAGGCCAACACGGACAACAUCACCCCACACGCCAGCGUCGCGGGUGCACUGGCCACGGCGGUGGCCGAAGCACUCAAGACGGUGGACGCGCCAUCCGAUGGGCGCGACUGCCCGAUCUGCAUAGAGGACGACGACUCGGCGGCGUGGAAGGAGACGCCGUGUGAGCACCGGUUCCACGGGCGGUGCCUCGAGAGGUGGCUGCAGGCCAAGGGGAGCUGCCCCAUGUGCCGGCGCCAGCUGGUGACCAUGCCCUCCGCCGCCGCCCCUAGUACCGCUGUAUUCUCAGAUUUAGAGCUGGAUGCCAUGAUGGACCUCAUGUACGCCAUCGGCGGCAACCAGAACCCGAUCAUCUUCAGCCAGGGGAACCGGCUCAUCACGCGCGAUGACAACAACGCCAAGGCGGUGACUGAGCGGGAGGACGAACCCUACAGCGAGUACAAGGACUGGGUGUGUUUGACUUCAUCCCUGCCAAGGAACUCGCAGGGGGACGUGAUGAUGAAUGGGGCCUGCUUCAACGGACCUGGCGGCCAGAACGAGCGCAGCGCCGCCGACGACUUGUUCUACCGAGUGCUGCAAUCACUAGAAGCCCGAGACCUUGUACUCGAGGGCCAAGCACAAGAUAUCGCCCAAGAAUACGCCGACGUGCUGUUUCACGAGCUUACUGGCGUCGAUUUUAAUUCCGAUUUGGUCAUGGCGGACACAGACGUUGACCCUGAUGCUCCAGAGGACCCGGCGUUGGGCGAGGCGGUGGCCGAGGCGCUGAAGACGGUGGAGGCGGCGUCCGACGGGCAGGGCUGCCCGAUCUGCAUGGAGGACGACGACGAUGACGACGCAGCGAGGGGCGCCUGGAAGGAGACGCCGUGCGGGCACCGGUUCCAUGGGCGUUUAGCUUCACCAACCUCCCUCGAUCUCUCUCGCGCGCAAUUGCGACCUAGCUUGAUGGCGUCGGAUGCCAUGGACAUGGCCGAAGACCUGCCACAAGAAGGAGACGCUCUCGUGGACGUCUACGUGGAUGGCCAGCUUUUCCGCCCAAGUACUCUCGCGUUGCUAGCGCUACUUGGCGCCGCGGUGAACGCUGCCGACAUCACCCGAGACGUCGCCGUCGCGGAUGCUCCAAACGACUUGGACCCGGCUGUGGUAGCAGCGGUGGCCGAGGCGCUGAAGACAGUGGACGCGCCGCUAUCUGACGAAGGCCUCAACUGUCCGAUCUGCUUGGAGAACGACGACACGUCAUCGUGGAAGGAGACUCCGUGCGGACAUCGGUUCCAUGGACGAUGCGUGGAGAAGUGGCUGCAGGCCAAGGGUAGCUGCCCCAUGUGUCGGUGCCAGGUGGUGGCGAUGCCUACCGCCGCCGCCACGGAUGCUCCAUACCGACACUUCGUUAUCCUUCAGGAAUAUGGCCAGGAUGGUACGAACUUCGUUGUCAUGGACAUUGAUGAUGACGACGACGAUGAUCAUGAUGAUGAUGAUGAGAUGACGUAGAAGAAGAAUAUGAUGAUGAUGAAAUGGAAGACGAAGGCUGAAUAUCACGGCCCCAACUUUGGAAGAUCCCUGCUGACAUGGAUUUGGGAUGCGCUUUUGUCCACCGUGUAA
RNAcentral lists this ribosomal RNA (1782 nucleotides) under Triticum aestivum (bread wheat). Its description in RNAcentral is "partial small subunit ribosomal RNA". Lineage: Eukaryota; Viridiplantae; Streptophyta; Magnoliopsida; Poales; Poaceae. The record is from RNAcentral.